AUGCACAUUUCGUUGUCUUUUUUCUUCUUCACAUCAAGAGAAAAGAUAUUUCUGAUGUGCUAAAUAAACUUGGAGGAAUAUUAGCAGCGUGACUACUUUAGCCACUGCUGUCAGUCACCUUCAGACAAAG
Apodemus sylvaticus (European woodmouse) is the source of this 130-nucleotide small nucleolar RNA. NCBI's taxonomy places the organism in Eukaryota, Metazoa, Chordata, Mammalia, Rodentia, Muridae. The record is from RefSeq and is a predicted model, not a curated record.